This is a non-coding RNA of Triticum aestivum (bread wheat), 125 nucleotides long. The record is from Rfam. Lineage: Eukaryota; Viridiplantae; Streptophyta; Magnoliopsida; Poales; Poaceae.
UAUGUACUCCCUCCGUCCGAAAAAGAUUCUCUCUCAAAUGGUUGUAUCUAGCACCAAGUUAGUGCUAGAUACAUCCAUUUGAGAGACAAGUUUGGGACAAGUUUUUUCGGACGAGGGAGUAGUUG